CAGUAGCCGCGGUAAUACGUAGGUGGCAAGCGUUGUCCGGAAUUAUUGGGCGUAAAGGGCUCGCAGGCGGUUUCUUAAGUCUGAUGUGAAAGCCCCCGGCUCAACCGGGGAGGGUCAUUGGAAACUGGGAAACUUGAGUGCGGAAGAGGAGAGUGGAAUUCCACGUGUAGCGGUGAAAUGCGUAGAGAUGCGGAGGAACACCAGUGGCGAAGGCGACUCUCUGGUCUGUAACUGACGCUGAGGAGCGAAAGCGUGGGGAGCGAACAGGAUUAGAGACCCCUGUAGUCCCUGUCUCUUAUAC
This 301-nucleotide ribosomal RNA is filed under the name uncultured bacterium. RNAcentral describes it as "partial 16S ribosomal RNA". It matches the Rfam family "Bacterial small subunit ribosomal RNA", at positions 509 to 807 of the family's 1533-position model. The record is from RNAcentral.